CGUGAGUGAUGAAGGCUUUCGGGUCGUAAAGCUCUGUCAAGUGGGAAGAACCCACAUGGUGUUAAUACCAUCAUGUGUUGACGGUACCACUGAAGGAAGCACCGGCUAACUCCGUGCCAGCAGCCGCGGUAAUACGGGGGGUGCAAGCGUUAUUCGGAAUUACUGGGCGUAAAGAGCGCGUAGGCGGUCCUUUAAGUCAGGUGUGAAAGCCCGGGGCUCAACCCCGGAAGUGCACUUGAAACUAAGGGACUUGAGUAUGGGAGAGGGAAGUGGAAUUCCUGGUGUAGCGGUGAAAUGCGUAGAUAUCAGGAGGAACAUCGGUGGCGAAGGCGACUUCCUGGACCAAUACUGACGCUGAGGCGCGAAGGCGUGGGGAGCAAACAGGAUUAGAUACCCUGGUAGUCCACGCAGUAAACGGUGAUCACUAGGUGUAGCGGGUAUUGACCCCUGCUGUGCCGCAGCAAACGCAUUAA
Molecule: ribosomal RNA, 473 nt
Filed under: uncultured delta proteobacterium
Lineage: Bacteria; Deltaproteobacteria
Description: bacterial SSU rRNA
Rfam family: Bacterial small subunit ribosomal RNA
Source: RNAcentral